GAUGAACGCUGGCGGCGUGCCUAAUACAUGCAAGUCGAGCGAACAGACGAGGAGCUUGCUCCUCUGACGUUAGCGGCGGACGGGUGAGUAACACGUGGAUAACCUACCUAUAAGACUGGGAUAACUUCGGGAAACCGGAGCUAAUACCGGAUAAUAUAUUGAACCGCAUGGUUCAAUAGUGAAAGACGGUUUUGCUGUCACUUAUAGAUGGAUCCGCGCCGCAUUAGCUAGUUGGUAAGGUAACGGCUUACCAAGGCAACGAUGCGUAGCCGACCUGAGAGGGUGGAGGGGCCGCAGGGGAGGAGGAACCGGCACCAGACACGUGCGGGAGGCAGCAGAGGGAAUUCCUCAGAAGGGGGCAAAGGCGGAAGGGAGAAACGCGGGGGGAGGAUGAAGGGUCUUGGGAGCGAAAACCUGUUUAUUGGAGAAAAAAAAAAUGUUAAGGUAAAAAGACGCGCCUAGACGGGCCUUAAUAGAAGGACCACGGCAAACCCGGGC
Molecule: ribosomal RNA, 498 nt
Filed under: uncultured bacterium
Lineage: Bacteria
Description: partial 16S ribosomal RNA
Rfam family: Bacterial small subunit ribosomal RNA
Source: RNAcentral